Molecule: transfer RNA, 70 nt
Filed under: Gymnothorax buroensis
Lineage: Eukaryota; Metazoa; Chordata; Actinopteri; Anguilliformes; Muraenidae
Description: tRNA-Asp
Rfam family: tRNA
About the family: Transfer RNA (tRNA) molecules are approximately 80 nucleotides in length.
Source: RNAcentral
AAGAUGCUAGUAACAAAAAUUACACCACCUUGUCAAGGUGAAAUUGUGGGUUAGAAUCCCGCGCAUCUUA